AACGUAGGAGACAAACGUUAUCCGGAGUUACUGGGCGUAAAGGGCGUGUAGGUGGUUUCGUAAGUCUGGCGUGAAAUAUCUCGGCUUAACCGAGGCAGGUCGUCGGAUACUGCAGGACUAGAGGACGGUAGAGGCGUGUGGAAUUCCGGGUGUAGUGGUGAAAUGCGUAGAGAUCCGGAGGAACACCAGUGGCGAAGGCGACACGCUGGGCCGUACCUGACACUGAUGCGCGACAGCAUGGGGAGCAAACAGG
RNAcentral lists this ribosomal RNA (253 nucleotides) under uncultured bacterium. RNAcentral's name for it is "partial 16S ribosomal RNA". It matches the Rfam family "Bacterial small subunit ribosomal RNA", at positions 524 to 776 of the family's 1533-position model. The record is from RNAcentral.